RNAcentral lists this ribosomal RNA (493 nucleotides) under uncultured bacterium. RNAcentral's name for it is "partial 16S ribosomal RNA". It matches the Rfam family "Bacterial small subunit ribosomal RNA", at positions 28 to 507 of the family's 1533-position model. The record is from RNAcentral.
GACGAACGCUGGCGGCGUGCUUAACACAUGCAAGUCGAACGGAAAGGCCUGCUUUCCCUUGUGGAUUGCGGGUACUCGAGUGGCGAACGGGUGAGUAACACGUGAGUGAUCUGCCCCCAACUUGGGUAUAAGCCUGGGAAACUGGGUCUAAUUCCCGAUAGGACUGCAGGGUGGUGCCUGUGGUGGAAAACGAUUUUCUAGUGGUUGGGGAUGAGCUCGCGGCCUAUCAGCUUGUUGGUGGGGUAAUGGCCUACCAAGGCGGCGACGGGUAGCCGGCCUGAGAGGGUGGACGGCCACGUUGGGACUGAGAUACGGCCCAGACUCCUACGGGAGGCAGCAGUGGGGAAUAUAGCACAAUGGGCGGAAGCCUGAUGCAGCGACGCCGCGUGGGGAUGACGGCCUUCGGGUUGUAAACUCCUUUCGACCGCGAGGAAGCCACCUGGUUGGAAGGGUGGUGACGGUAGUGGUAGAAGAAGCACCGGCUAACUACGUG